Vespa velutina is the source of this 3023-nucleotide long non-coding RNA. RefSeq lists it as uncharacterized. NCBI's taxonomy places the organism in Eukaryota, Metazoa, Arthropoda, Insecta, Hymenoptera, Vespidae. The transcript is spliced from 2 exons. The record is from RefSeq and is a predicted model, not a curated record.
GAGAGUCAGUAGGCGCGAGCUCAGUUGCUCGCUCGCGCGCAAGGCAGAAGUAUCCGAGACAAAUCGCUACAAGGAUACAUAACUUUCCCGUCGGAAGGGGUUUCUUUGCGGUUUAUGUGCGAGAGAGGAAGAAAGAGGGACGAGGCAGGAGGAAGAGGAGGAGAAAGAGGAGGAGGAGGAGGAGGAGGAGGAUAUGGAGGAAGAGAAGAUGGAGGAGGAAGAGGAUGAAGAGUAGAAGGGUGGGAGAAGAAAGAAAGCAAGAGAGAAGGAAUGUCAUGCAAUGUGUCCGGCCAAACCGAACACCAUAGACUUAACGCGCCAAGGCAACCAAGCAAGCAACCCCCUUCCUUUCUCGAAGAAAACGCCAGUCCGUUUACCAACGACUACUAAACAAGUACGCAAGUAGCAAGGAGCAGCGACGUCGAAGGAGGAGGUUUACCGCGAAGCUUAUAUUGCGGUAAGUGGGCAACCAUUGUCCCGUAAUAUUAAUUCAAACGGCAAUAAUUCAAGAACAAUGACGAAUUUUUACUUCUGAUUUUCAGAUAGAUAUUUUUUCGAUUCAGUUUGAAGAGAUUAUAAAAGAAAAGAAAAGAAAAGAAAAGAAAAAAAAAAGAGAAGUAGACCAAAAAAAGGACAAAAGGAGGAAGGAAAGAAAGAUAAAAAAAAAAAGAUAAGAGAGAAAAAACACGAGGGGGAAAAGAAAUAAUGGUCUAGAUAAGACGAAUAAACGAAUUGAUACGAAUUGACCACAAGAGAGGGUAUCGCGUUUCAUGUAAAUACUUCCGUCGGAUUUCCACGAAUUUAGAAAAGGUCCAAGAGGUCUGCUGCUACAGAUAUUCGGGACGAAAGGCGAUGCACGUUUAAGAUCCGAGUUGCAUUAUUUCCGGUCGAUUCUCUUCCAACGGGGUAUCUCGUUACAGCGGACUUUAUUCGGGCUCCAAUCUGCGCAAUUACAUCUCGGAACGAUAUCAAAGGUUCGUUUUCUCGUGAACGGAACCAGAGAGAGUCCAGGGAGUUUGUGCGAUCGGUAGCCAUUCUGCUCUCACUCUCUUUCUUUAUCUCUCUCUCUCUCUCUCUCUCUCUCCUUCUUUUUCUUUCUUUCUCUCUCCCAUUCUGUUUCUCUUUGAACAUACAUUCGGUCUAAGUCGGUUCAAUCCCUCACUACCACCAUCAACGGCAUCAUCUCAGGUGACUUCUAUAAAUUACUUGCCGUAGCUUUUGAAAGUUAUAUCAAAUGCUUUGGUCCUUUCUCGCAGAGGGACUCGUGUCGGAGUACCAACUUUGGGUCUGGCGUUAGUUCGAGUGUGCGAUUCCACGCAGUUCUCCAAGAACCCAUAUAUAUAUAUAUAUAUAUGUGUAUGUGUGUGUAUUUUCGUACAUACAUACAUAUAUACGUGUAUAUGAGCAUACCAAAGAGAGACGAAGAAGAAGAGAAAGAAAAAAAGAGAGAGAGAGAGAGAGAGAGAGAGAAAGAGAGAAGGAAGAACAUAGGUGAGUAAAGAAGAGGAAGAGAGGGUCCUCGGCACAGGAGGGGGGCCCAAAUAAUAUUUCAAAAUUAAUGUCAUGCGGGGCCUUCCAAAGGGGUCCGGUGGGUUCCGCACCACCUUCCUGCAUAAGAUAAGGCCCUCUUGGCCACCGCUCGUGAGACAAGGACCAACCAACCAACCAACCGACCGACCGACCGACCGACCGACCGACCGGCCGGCCGGCCGGCAGGACGGCCGACCGAGGGAACGCGAGCUUCGAGAACCCGAGGAAGGCGAGCGUGUGAGAGAGAGAGAGAGAAAGAGAGAGAGAGAGAAAAAGAGAAAAAGAGAGGGAGAGAGAGAGAAAGAGAGAGAGGCAUGGAAUGUGUGGGUCUAGAGAGAACACACAUAGUCAGCUUGUGGAUGGGUCGAUAAGAAAGAAAGAGAGAGAGAGAGAGAGAGAGAGAGAGAGAGAGAGAAAGAGAAAGAAAGAUGGAAGAAACGAGUGCCUGAGGGAUAAAGUGGAAGAAGAGAAGCCGGAGUCGUCUCGUGAGAGGAAAGGAUCAAGGAGAAUAGCGUGCAUUGAAAAGAGAGAGAGAGGGGGAGAUACUAAGCCGACGACCGAGGAGUAAGCGAGCGAGAGAGAAAGAAAGAGAGAGAGAGAAAGAGAAGAAGAAAGAAUGAAGAAGAGGAGAAGAAGGUAAGAAGGGAGAAGAAGGACGUACUUGCGUGUGUGCACGCGUGACUAACGGUGCGAGGGAGAUGGAGAGAGUAAAGAGUAAAAGAGAGAGAGAGAGAGAGAGAGAGAGAAGGAAACGAUGACGCCGAUGGUGGUGAACCUUAGGAAAAGGAUAGAAAGAGAAGGAGAAACAGAGAGAAAGAGAGAGAGAGGAAACGAGAAGAAGAAAGAAAGAGGAGACCGAACGAAGGAGACAAACGCACAUCUCGCUCUCUUCGAGCCCUCGAGAAAGGAUCUAGACUCUCUAGGGCCAAACCAUCUCUCCUUUACCCUCACUCUAUCUCUCUCUCUCUCUUUUCUCUCUCUCUCUCUCUCUCUCUCUCUCUCUCUCUCUCUCUCUGUCGCACUUGACGCGUUCCUCUUUCUAUCUCCUCUCCCUUUCUAUCCGUCUGCAUUCCUCGCACAGGCGCAUAGAACCGAGCGUGCAUUUCUUUCUUUCCCCUCUCUUCUCUCUCCCUAUCAUUCCCCACCCCGCGACCCUCUCCUCUUCCUCCCCUACCUUUUCCUCUUCCUCACCUCUCGUUCUUUCUCUCUCUUUCCCUCUUUCUCUCUCCACUCCUCUCUACUCCUUCUCCUCCAACUCAUCCUCUCCCUCCAACACUAAUUCACGUUGACAUCUCAGCUCUGCGGAUACACCGACGGACGGAUGACUGUUGGCGUUGGGAGGGUCAGGAUGACGAGGACGAAAGGGGCAAACAAGGUGGAUACCAACCGAACGAGAUCGUAUAGGAACUAUCUUUCUCCUUAGAAAAUUGGCGAAUCUUUGUUAUGCUUGAUUUUUAAUCAAUGUACGACAUAAUACAAUGUUUUGUUAAGUA